CAAUGCUCCGGCGAGUCCAAGAGGCGGCUAUGGUGGAUCAUCAGACAUGUACAAGGAUUUCGAUUCCAAUAAACGAUUGCUCUUUGGAUUAGAGAGAGGUCUGGCAGAACCAUUAGGUGCCUACACCGAACCAUUCAAUGUUAACGAAAUGUUAUUAGGUCCGCUUUAAGGAAGAGAUAGAGAUUCAAUUCUUAACGGAGAAGUCCAUUCCAUGCAAAUAUAUAGUCGAGGGUUGCUGGCUGAUUGAAACACCCAGAAUAGAUCUACCAAUUCACUAAUCCCUCCG
This 286-nucleotide long non-coding RNA is filed under the name Setaria viridis. RNAcentral's name for it is "long non-coding RNA (SVIR_LNC004606)". Lineage: Eukaryota; Viridiplantae; Streptophyta; Magnoliopsida; Poales; Poaceae. The record is from RNAcentral.